UACGUAGGGGGCAAGCGUUGUCCGGAAUCACUGGGCGUAAAGCGUGCGUAGGCGGUUGCGUAAGUCUGGAGUGAAAGUCCAUGGCUCAACCAUGGGAUUGCUUUGGAAACUACGUAACUUGAGUACUGGAGAGGCAAGGGGAAUUCCACGUGUAGCGGUGAAAUGCGUAGAUAUGUGGAGGAAUACCAGUGGCGAAGGCGCCUUGCUGGACAGAAACUGACGCUGAGGCACGAAAGCGUGGGGAG
This 245-nucleotide ribosomal RNA is filed under the name uncultured bacterium. RNAcentral describes it as "partial 16S ribosomal RNA". It matches the Rfam family "Bacterial small subunit ribosomal RNA", at positions 524 to 768 of the family's 1533-position model. The record is from RNAcentral.